ACGAGUGUGCAUUGAGUACGUCUUCGUGAGUGUCGUUCAUCUGGAUAGAGGUUGGAGCUGAGGGUGGCACAAAAGGGCAAGCAUCGUACUUCUUGGCGCUUCGUGAUAGAAUAGCAUGCGAUAGAUGGCGUCACACCUGUGUUUGGUUGCGAAAGGAGGCAUCGCAACAAACAACAAUGGAGUAGAGAGGGUCGUGUCUAUGUUUGGUCGCUGACCCGUCUGGCUGUGUGACUACAUCUGUUUGCAGUGCGGCUGUUUUUGGAUGUGCAACUAAAGGUUCUACUGCCGG
Molecule: long non-coding RNA, 289 nt
Filed under: Carica papaya (papaya)
Lineage: Eukaryota; Viridiplantae; Streptophyta; Magnoliopsida; Brassicales; Caricaceae
Description: long non-coding RNA (CPAP_LNC008374)
Source: RNAcentral